This is a small nucleolar RNA of Balaenoptera musculus (blue whale), 77 nucleotides long. Ensembl annotates it as small nucleolar RNA, C/D box 112. Its record names the gene SNORD112. The record is from Ensembl. Lineage: Eukaryota; Metazoa; Chordata; Mammalia; Artiodactyla; Balaenopteridae.
UGGACCAAUGAUGAGAAAGUGUUUGUGAACAAAGGAUCAUGAUUAAUCCAGUUCUGCGCAAAAUACUGAGGUCCAUU